GAUGAACGCUGGCGGCGUGCUUAACACAUGCAAGUCGAACGAAGCGAUUUAACGGAAGUUUUCGGAUGGAAGUUAGAUUGACUGAGUGGCGGACGGGUGAGUAACGCGUGGGUAACCUGCCUCAUACAGGGGGAUAACAGUUAGAAAUGACUGCUAAUACCGCAUAAGCGCACAGCAUCGCAUGAUGCAGUGUGAAAAAACUCCGGUGGUAUGAGAUGGACCCGCGUCUGAUUAGCUGGUUGGUGGGUAACGGCCUACCAAGGCGACGAUCAGUAGCCGACCUGAGAGGUGACCGGCCACAUUGGGACUGAGACACGGCCCAAAACUCCUACGGGAGGCAGCAUGGGGAAUAUUGCACAAAUGGGCGAAAGACCUGAUGCAGCGACGCCGCGUGAG
RNAcentral lists this ribosomal RNA (396 nucleotides) under uncultured bacterium. RNAcentral's name for it is "bacterial SSU rRNA". It matches the Rfam family "Bacterial small subunit ribosomal RNA", at positions 28 to 405 of the family's 1533-position model. The record is from RNAcentral.